CAUAUGCAGUGAAUGAUAGAUCAAGGAAACCAUAAAUUCUUGGGCCAUACUUAUUGCCCAAGUAAUGCUCAAUAUAUAAUCAAGCAAAGAUGCAUUAUUAAUUUCUACUCAAGUCCAAGUACAGUAAGAAUCAAAGGGAAAACUAUCUCAUGGUUAAUUUGAUUAGUCUCCCAAAGUUGUGAACUCCUGACCGUCAAUUUUGAGUGAUAACAAAAAACUGCUCUAUUAUUAAUUGAAGAUGUUAAUGGGAAGAAUAUGAAGUUCGAUUAGUGUUCAUUUUCCUAUAAACAUUACAAUAGAGAGUUUCAUGUCAUCCAUGUUAAAUCUUAAGUGACGGUAAAAAAGCAAUUUUUUGCAAAAUUGGUCCACCAACAAAACAAAGUUUAAGACAUAAUAAGCCCUAUUGUGUCAAUAAUGAUCAAAAAGUAAGGGAAUGCAACCUAAUAGAUAUUGUUCCGCUUUGUCGGCCAGAAUUCAUAGUAGAGGCUUCUGGUUGAUGAUCUUCAUUGAGUUUCUACCGAAACAAACUUCUGAUGUGAGAUGGCCAAAAGAAAAUUAUAAGAGUAAUUAAAUAUUAUGCUACCUUUUACACUCACAUCAAUAGAAGGGUUAAAACUUAAAAAUGACAUCCGACCACUUGUUGCCACAGGAUGGGGAUCCCCUUCCACAAUAACAACACUGCAUUUGAACAUGAAGUGGGAAAAAAAUAAAUAAAAUAGAGAACUCUGGUAUUAUAAAGAAAAGAAUGUGUUUAUAAAAUGAAAAUAGUAAUAUUUAUAUUUCAAUAUAGCACUUGAUUCAGGACAUAUAAAAACAAAAAUAAUUAGAUAAAGACAUGUGAUCCCAGAGGAGACUAUUAUACACAUCUACUGAAAGCUGAUUUCUGUGUACUGUAAUGAAGGCUAGGCAGAUAGAAAGUGGAAGUGAAGGUGAAACUUUGCUCUUUCCCUAAGAAAGUGGAGGCCUAAGACUAGGCAAACAACUCAAAAGAUUAAAUAUAGCCUAAACCAUAAUUUUUAAUAAAGAGGAAAUAAUGGUAACUGUUAAACACAAACAAAAGUAAUUUUCCCUUGUCUUCCACUAAAUCUCUCUCCUCCUUUCCCUCUCCUCUUUCCUGUAUUGAACAAGGUUUAACAUAAGAAAAAUAAUUUUCUCCCUCUUCC
Molecule: long non-coding RNA, 1163 nt
Filed under: Olea europaea (common olive)
Lineage: Eukaryota; Viridiplantae; Streptophyta; Magnoliopsida; Lamiales; Oleaceae
Description: long non-coding RNA (OEUR_LNC004780)
Source: RNAcentral